This 132-nucleotide small RNA is filed under the name Escherichia coli. RNAcentral describes it as "RtT sRNA". It matches the Rfam family "RtT RNA". Rfam says of the family: This family represents a bacterial cis-regulatory element known as RtT RNA. The exact function of RtT is unknown although it is thought that it may be involved in changing the cellular response in relation to amino acid starvation. The record is from RNAcentral. Lineage: Bacteria; Pseudomonadati; Pseudomonadota; Gammaproteobacteria; Enterobacterales; Enterobacteriaceae.
AUUCUGCCCAUGCGGGGAAGGAUGAGAAGCUUCGACCAAGGUGCAACUCGAGCGCCAGCGAGAAAGCGUUGCCGCAGGCAACGACCCGAAGGGUGAAGCGCGCAGCGCUGAGUAAUCCUUCCCCCACCACCA